This 415-nucleotide ribosomal RNA is filed under the name uncultured bacterium. RNAcentral describes it as "bacterial SSU rRNA". It matches the Rfam family "Bacterial small subunit ribosomal RNA", at positions 355 to 767 of the family's 1533-position model. The record is from RNAcentral.
UGAGGAAUAUUGGUCAAUGGGCGCAAGCCUGAACCAGCCAUCCCGCGUGAAGGAAGAAGGCGCUAUGCGUUGUAAACUUCUUUUCCAGGGGGAGAAUUUUUCCGUCGUGACGGGAAUUGACGGUACCCUGGGAAUAAGCAUCGGCUAACUCCGUGCCAGCAGCCGCGGUAAUACGGAGGAUGCGAGCGUUAUCCGGAUUUAUUGGGUUUAAAGGGUGCGUAGGCGGAUAGAUAAGUCAGUGGUGAAAUUCUGCAGCUUAACUGUAGACUUGCCGUUGAUACUGUCAGUCUUGAGUAUGGUCAAGGCAGGCGGAAUGUGUAAUGUAGCGGUGAAAUGCUUAGAUAUUACACAGAACACCGAUUGCGAAGGCAGCUUGCUGGGCCAUUACUGACGCUGAUGCACGAAAGCGUGGGGA